UCUGUGCAAAGUGAGCAUAAUCAAUUGGCUUUUAAUUGGAGUCUAGUAUGAAUGGGGGAAAUGGGGAUUUAUUGUCUCUUAGUAAUUAUAAUGAAUUUAAUUAAAAGGUGAAAAUCCCUUUAAUUUUAGAUAAUAGACGAGAAGACCCUUAGAGUUUAAUAAUAUUAAUUUGUGUAAUUGAUUUAUUUUUGCUGGGGCGGCAAAGGAACACUUAAACUUCCUUAUAUUAUUUAAGUGUAUGGCGAUAUUGUUAAGUUUAGUUAAGCUACCUAAGGGAUAACAGCAUAAUUUAUACUUAAGUUUGUGACCUCGAUGUUGGACUAGGAUUUUUAUGGCUAGUAGUCAAAAUAAACUGUUCUGUUCGAACAUCAACUCCUACAUGAUCUGAGUUCAAAUCGA
RNAcentral lists this ribosomal RNA (399 nucleotides) under Rathouisia sinensis. RNAcentral describes it as "partial 16S ribosomal RNA". It matches the Rfam family "Archaeal large subunit ribosomal RNA", at positions 2022 to 2688 of the family's 2987-position model. Lineage: Eukaryota; Metazoa; Mollusca; Gastropoda; Systellommatophora; Rathouisiidae. The record is from RNAcentral.